Non-coding RNA from Arachis ipaensis, 962 nucleotides. Lineage: Eukaryota; Viridiplantae; Streptophyta; Magnoliopsida; Fabales; Fabaceae. The record is from RefSeq and is a predicted model, not a curated record.
UAAAUAACUAACACCCAUAAUCUCUUUUGUCACUACACUCCAUGUUAUGGUUCCUGAAAAACCACCACUUCUCCAUUUUCUUCUCUUUUUGGAUUCUCCAAUGGAAGAGAUUAAGGGCCAAAAAGAGAAGAAAAUGGAGAAGGUGGUGGUUUUUUAGGAACCAUAACAUGGAGUGUGUUGGCAAAAGAGAUUAAGGGCGUUGGUUAUAUAGCGCUGCCUAUGAUAACUGUCAACUAUCAACCUAUUUUCUUCAGAUAAUUUCCAUGAUGAUAGUUGGUCAUUUGGGAAAGCUUGCUCUCUCUAGCACAACUAUUGCUACCUCUCUUUGUGCUGUCUCUGGCUUCAAGUUUGGAAUGUCGUGCAUUGGAAAUUCUAGGCGGCCAAGCCUAUGGAGCAAAGCAAUAUACCAGAUUUGGUGUUCAAAUCUACACUUGUAUUGUAACUUUGAGUCUAGCUUGUGUUCCUGUGAAAUUCUCUACUCAGUGUGAAAAGACUCAUGCUCCAAUCUUGAUGGAACUAUUCUAUGGGCUUGGAGAGUUCUUGUGCUACGCCGUUCCAUCUGAUGGGAUGAUUUGCCUCGAAUAGUGGUCAUUUGAGCUGCUCACUUUGCUUUCUGGGCUUCUACCAAAUCCAGAGCUUGAAGCUUCAGUUCUGUCCAUAUGGCACAAAGUUGUUAUUGUAGAAGCUAAGGUAACUAUUUGCUCUUGAAAGAUGGGGUUUGGAAGGAAAUAUCAUGUUUUUGUUAAAAUUUUUAGUCCCUCCAAAAAUUUCUUUUAAGCUCUGUCAUUGGCCAGCAUAUUCUUCUAGUAUGACUUUCUUGGUGGCCAGCCUACCACUUGUAAUUGUAAUUGGUGGCCAGCAUGUUCUCCAAUAAAAGAUGCUUUACUAUAAUAGAUUAAGAUAAGAAAAAAGUGUAACUGAAUUUUUUUGCUACAUUCUUACAAACUCAAACAAAUUUAGAG